UUACUAAAAGUUAAUUUGGGGGAGGUUACUCAAUGACCUUUGCCAGCUUGAAUUCUUUGGGAAAAUGAACUUAAAGACCAUCCUCCACAGUGGGCUAUGUCACUCAUCAUAGCUUACUACUAUGUUGUGGUUUACAUU
This is a small nucleolar RNA of Suncus etruscus (white-toothed pygmy shrew), 138 nucleotides long. RefSeq annotates it as small nucleolar RNA SNORA4. NCBI's taxonomy places the organism in Eukaryota, Metazoa, Chordata, Mammalia, Eulipotyphla, Soricidae. The transcript has a single exon. The record is from RefSeq and is a predicted model, not a curated record.